RNAcentral lists this ribosomal RNA (1365 nucleotides) under uncultured bacterium. Its description in RNAcentral is "16S ribosomal RNA". It matches the Rfam family "Bacterial small subunit ribosomal RNA", at positions 35 to 1395 of the family's 1533-position model. The record is from RNAcentral.
GCUAGCUACAGGCUUAACACAUGCAAGUCGAGGGGCAGCAUGGUCUUAGCUUGCUAAGGCCGAUGGCGACCGGCGCACGGGUGAGUAACACGUAUCCAACCUGCCGUCUACUCUUGGACAGCCUUCUGAAAGGAAGAUUAAUACAAGAUGGCAUCAUGAGUCCGCAUGUUCACAUGAUUAAAGGUAUUCCGGUAGACGAUGGGGAUGCGUUCCAUUAGAUAGUAGGCGGGGUAACGGCCCACCUAGUCUUCGAUGGAUAGGGGUUCUGAGAGGAAGGUCCCCCACAUUGGAACUGAGACACGGUCCAAACUCCUACGGGAGGCAGCAGUGAGGAAUAUUGGUCAAUGGGCGAGAGCCUGAACCAGCCAAGUAGCGUGAAGGAUGACUGCCCUAUGGGUUGUAAACUUCUUUUAUAAAGGAAUAAAGUCGGGUAUGGAUACCCGUUUGCAUGUACUUUAUGAAUAAGGAUCGGCUAACUCCGUGCCAGCAGCCGCGGUAAUACGGAGGAUCCGAGCGUUAUCCGGAUUUAUUGGGUUUAAAGGGAGCGUAGAUGGAUGUUUAAGUCAGUUGUGAAAGUUUGCGGCUCAACCGUAAAAUUGCAGUUGAUACUGGAUAUCUUGAGUGCAGUUGAGGCAGGCGGAAUUCGUGGUGUAGCGGUGAAAUGCUUAGAUAUCACGAAGAACUCCGAUUGCGAAGGCAGCCUGCUAAGCUGCAACUGACAUUGAGGCUCGAAAGUGUGGGUAUCAAACAGGAUUAGAUACCCUGGUAGUCCACACGGUAAACGAUGAAUACUCGCUGUUUGCGAUAUACAGCAAGCGGCCAAGCGAAAGCGUUAAGUAUUCCACCUGGGGAGUACGCCGGCAACGGUGAAACUCAAAGGAAUUGACGGGGGCCCGCACAAGCGGAGGAACAUGUGGUUUAAUUCGAUGAUACGCGAGGAACCUUACCCGGGCUUAAAUUGCAGAUGAAUUACGGUGAAAGCCGUAAGCCGCAAGGCAUCUGUGAAGGUGCUGCAUGGUUGUCGUCAGCUCGUGCCGUGAGGUGUCGGCUUAAGUGCCAUAACGAGCGCAACCCUUGUUGUCAGUUACUAACAGGUUCCGCUGAGGACUCUGACAAGACUGCCAUCGUAAGAUGUGAGGAAGGUGGGGAUGACGUCAAAUCAGCACGGCCCUUACGUCCGGGGCUACACACGUGUUACAAUGGGGGGUACAGAGGGCCGCUACCACGCGAGUGGAUGCCAAUCCCAAAAACCUCUCUCAGUUCGGACUGGAGUCUGCAACCCGACUCCACGAAGCUGGAUUCGCUAGUAAUCGCGCAUCAGCCACGGCGCGGUGAAUACGUUCCCGGGCCUUGUACACACCGCCC